This 861-nucleotide ribosomal RNA is filed under the name uncultured Bacillota bacterium. Its description in RNAcentral is "bacterial SSU rRNA". It matches the Rfam family "Bacterial small subunit ribosomal RNA", at positions 57 to 917 of the family's 1533-position model. Lineage: Bacteria; Bacillati; Bacillota. The record is from RNAcentral.
GCAAGUCGAACGAGAAUCUGUGGAUCGAGGAUUCGUCCAAGUGAAGCAGAGGACAGUGGCGGACGGGUGAGUAACGCGUGAGGAACCUGCCUUUCAGAGGGGGACAACAGUUGGAAACGACUGCUAAUACCGCAUGAUACAUUUGGGUGGCAUCAUCUGAAUGUCAAAGAUUUAUCGCUGAAAGAUGGCCUCGCGUCUGAUUAGCUAGUUGGUGAGGUAACGGCCCACCAAGGCGACGAUCAGUAGCCGGACUGAGAGGUUGACCGGCCACAUUGGGACUGAGAUACGGCCCAGACUCCUACGGGAGGCAGCAGUGGGGAAUAUUGGGCAAUGGGCGCAAGCCUGACCCAGCAACGCCGCGUGAAGGAAGAAGGCUUUCGGGUCGUAAACUUCUUUUAAGAGGGAAGAGCAGAAGACUGUACCUCUAGAAUAAGCCACGGCUAACUACGUGCCAGCAGCCGCGGUAAUACGUAGGUGGCAAGCGUUGUCCGGAUUUACUGGGUGUAAGGGGCGUGCAGCCGGGAAUGCAAGUCAGAUGUGAAAUCCAUGGGCUUAACCCAUGAACUGCAUUUGAAACUGUAUUUCUUGGGUACUGGAGAGGCAAUCGGAAUUCCUAGUGUAGCGGUGAAAUGCGUAGAUAUUAGGAGGAACACCAGUGGCGAAGGCGGAUUGCUGGACAGCAACUGACGGUGAGGCGCGAAAGUGUGGGGAGCAAACAGGAUUAGAUACCCUGGUAGUCCACACUGUAAACGAUGAAUACUAGGUGUGCGGGGACUGACCCCCUGCGUGCCGCAGUUAACACAAUAAGUAUUCCACCUGGGGAGUACGAUCGCAAGGUUGCAACUCAAAUGAAUUGACGGA